AGUGAACGCUGGCGGUAGGCCUAACACAUGCAAGUCGAACGGCAGCACAGUAAGAGCUUGCUCUUACGGGUGGCGAGUGGCGGACGGGUGAGGAAUACAUCGGAAUCUACUUUUUCGUGGGGGAUAACGUAGGGAAACUUACGCUAAUACCGCAUACGACCUACGGGUGAAAUCAGGGGAUCUUCGGACCUUGCGCGAUUGAAUGAGCCGAUGUCGGAUUAGCCAGUUGGCGGGGUAAAGGCCCACCAAGGCGACGAUCCGUAGCUGGUCUGAGAGGAUGAUCAGCCACACUGGAACUGAGACACGGUCCAGACGCCUACGGGAGGCAGCAGUGGUGAAUAUUGGACAAUGGGCGCAAGCCUGAUCCAGCCAUACCGCGUGGGUGAAGAAGGCCUUCGGGUUGUAAAGCCCUUUUGUUGGGAAAGAAAAGCAGCAGGUUAAUACCCCGCUGUUCUGACGGUACCCAAAGAAUAAGCACCGGCUAACUUCGUG
This 492-nucleotide ribosomal RNA is filed under the name uncultured bacterium. RNAcentral's name for it is "partial 16S ribosomal RNA". It matches the Rfam family "Bacterial small subunit ribosomal RNA", at positions 29 to 507 of the family's 1533-position model. The record is from RNAcentral.